GGAAGUGCCAUGGCUCAGGGGUAGAGCUUCUGUCUUGUAAGCAGAAGGUCCCAGGUUCAGUCCCUGGCAUCUCCA
This is a non-coding RNA of Podarcis lilfordi (Lilford's wall lizard), 75 nucleotides long. The record is from the annotation of a GenBank genome assembly. Lineage: Eukaryota; Metazoa; Chordata; Lepidosauria; Squamata; Lacertidae.